RNAcentral lists this long non-coding RNA (772 nucleotides) under Nicotiana benthamiana. RNAcentral describes it as "long non-coding RNA (NBEN_LNC024958)". The record is from RNAcentral. Lineage: Eukaryota; Viridiplantae; Streptophyta; Magnoliopsida; Solanales; Solanaceae.
CUUUAAAAGAAAUAUUAAAAAGCGGUAGAUAAACAGUUUAAAAUUGCACCAUAGGCUAAAACAUAUAUAAAAAUUGAAUAAUAGGCCAAUUGUAAUAGUUUAAGCGACUGUGCUAGAACCAUAGAAUCCGAGGGUGCCUAAUACUUCCCUCGGUUAACCGAAUUCCUUAUUUAGUUUUUCUGGUUCGCAGACUUCAAAACGAAAGUCGAAAUCUUCCUCGAUUUGGGAUUUAAAAAUAAAUGGGUGACUUGAGACAUCAAAUAAACUAUCCCAAGUGGCGACUCUGAAAAAAAUAAAUAAAUUAUUCCAUUUCGAAUAGUGUCACUUUAAUUGGAAAAAUUCCCUUAUAUGUUUAUCCGUCGGGGUAGCUGUGUAAACAAAUGAGGAGUCACAACUAUGAACCGCUCUUCUUCUCCGCCCGUUCCCUGUAGUUGGUUGCAAUACCUUUUGAGGCCGGGAAGGUUUUGAAACCCAAGGCUAGAUGUAUGUGUGGGAACAUGCACAGGUCGGUGUAGACACGCUCUUUUGCCCACUCAGCCCCUGUAUGUUUUUGAGACUUUGCUCCAUACUUUUAAUCUUUACGGUAAUCUCCUCUUGUUAAGGGGUUUUUGCGGCUUUCUCUUUCCCUGCAGUAAAGUCGUACCGAGGCAGCUGAGGAUAAAUACUAGUAGUGAACUAGGGUGGUUACAUGGUGUUUAAAAGGUGCAGGAAGAUGGAUCACAGCUAGGCCUGGGUACAUCAGGUUGUGUUGUAGCUGAACAAGGUAGCACGG